This is a long non-coding RNA of Xiphophorus couchianus (Monterrey platyfish), 3115 nucleotides long. RefSeq lists it as uncharacterized. The transcript is spliced from 2 exons. NCBI's taxonomy places the organism in Eukaryota, Metazoa, Chordata, Actinopteri, Cyprinodontiformes, Poeciliidae. The record is from RefSeq and is a predicted model, not a curated record.
GAACAAGAUCAAAGCAUGAAGGAACCAACAGGAACCGCCAGAGAUGCUCUGGAAACCUGACAUGACACCAGAACUACGAACAGAACUACACUAGGAUCUGGCAAGGACUAACUGAAGCAGAGAGGCUUCAGUGUUGGGGAGGAUGAUCACCAGAAACGGGUGCCAGUAGUCCGUGUCGCUGUAAUGUACUCGCCUCAGUAAUACGCAGUAAUAACAGCCGUGCUCUGGGUCAAAAGGUCAGGAGAUGGGAAUCCUGCUCUCACUGCUGUUCUUCAUCCUCUGCUGUGAUAUGAAACAUCAUCUGUCUCUCCUAAUCUCUUCCUCCAACACAUUGUAUUCAGCUUCAAUAAAUAUCUGCUGUGGAUAAAUAGUGUUUUGCAGCUUUAAGUGCUCGUGUGUGUCAGAUCAAAGUCAGUCCCAGAAAAACAUAUUUUGUGACAACUGGUCCUUUCAUAUUUUCUGAUGGAAAUAACCGCAUUGAUCUCAUGUCAGUAUCAUUAUUGGAAACAAUCAGUUUAUUGAAAACAUGCCGACUGAAUGUUUUAGUCACUGGAACAUUUUUUAUUGAUGUCAGAAGCUACAAGAAGAACAAACCAAUUCAUUGAAUGAGAAUGUUUCACUAAGGGAAACAUAUUUAGAUGAAUUACAUACAGUGAUGCUUUCUUUUCCUUUUGCUGUUGAAGCUGUUGCUGAACUGCAAACCUUUAUUAAGAGAUUGCUGCAUCCCGAGUUUAAUCCCAGCAGCUCUUAGACUCUGGAAUAAAACAAGGUUCACUUAGCGCCGCUAAUGUUUUUGACAAAAGACAGCUUAUAAUUUGUGAUUAAACAGCUAUUCAAAUAAUUGUGUUAUUAUUAUUAAAUAAUCAGUAUUUCUAUUUACUUUUCAAGGUUUUCAAAUAAAGAAAAACAAACUUUUGUGGAAAUGAGAAUAAAUACAUUUUAUUUUGAAAGAUGGUUGAUAUUUGUGGAAAAUGAUGUAGAAAAAAAAACAAGUUUUCAAACUAAAGUCAGUAGUAAUAACGUCAGGUUAUAGAUGACGACUCUAAAAGCAUCACUGCUCCCAAAAAACUGUUUACAUUCCUGCUGUUAUUUGCACAAUUUCUUUUAUUUCUUACAACUUUACAACCACAUUUUGGACAUUUCUUUUCCUCAGAACAUGCCGUUUUACUCACUGCUCUGUAUUUUCAUACUGUGAACGUUCCCUUACUGUACAAUACCUGCAUAUUUUCCAAAAGAUGCUUUUUAUUCUGACAUAAGAACCUCAUCUGAACACAUCUUCUAAUUUAUUGAAUAUUUCUGUAAAUGUCAAGUCAUUCUCACUUUUCCUCACUGUAUGCUUGUUUCAGUGCUAACAUUCACACUGAAAUUGAUGAGUCAUUUUCUUGCCUUUGUCCUUUGAAAUGUUUCCAUUUGUUGUUUCCUGAUGGCGGAUCUGAGCAGGCGGUUGGUGAGAUGAUGGGAUGAGUCGGUGGCCGGCGCAGCAUCAGCAGCAAAUCGUUUCACUUAACCACAGCCUGGAGAAUCUCUGAGGUUUGCCACAGGGACCUUUGACCUCUGCGCCGGUCCUUCCUGUUGCCACCACUGUCUAAAGCUGCGUUUAUGGAUGCAUCAGGAAACUUUAACUUACUGAUCAGCUGAGGUGUGCAGCAUUGUUUGCUCCACAGCCAGGACUGUCCUUGAUUGUCACUCAGUUCAGGUUCCACUGCCACCUGGAGGAAUGAUGAGUUUUCCUCUAAUGGCUUCUAAAGUAGCUUCCCGCAGUGGGAGCGUCGGCAGCCAGCAUAUGGUGCCCUGUUGUUCACAAAUGGCUGAAUGGGAAAAACAGGGAAAUAUUUCAGGAUAAAUGAAGCAGUUUGGGUUUUAUUUGGGCUGCCAUGGAAACGUCUCUGUUGUGAUUUUUACUUUUAAACCUAUGCAUGUUGCAGCUCUGCAACCAAAAGUUAAUAUAAAGCUUUAGGUUCAGAUGGAAAACAUUUUGACUGUUGGACACGCUCAGUGUGGAUGAUUCAUGAGGAAAGCUUUGCAUUUGCAGAGGCAAAAGACUGAAAGAAAAUAGAUCUACUUUUAUUUUUAGGUAUCAUCCAUUUCUCCAUGUGAUAUCUGCAAAGCUUUGUGACAAGGUCAUGCAUCACAGACAUCCCUGCGCUCAUCCAUCAAUGAUCUAAAUCCGUCCUGAGACCAGAUGGGAUUUUUUACCCACCUUCUCUCAUAAUAUACAAUGGAAGCCUAAAGAAAAAAGCCAAAAAAACUACAACAAAAAUUCUCUUAUUGUUUGACAUUAAAACAGGCAAAACGUUUUGUGUUACUUUAUUGAUCCCAAAGGAAAAUGAGACAUUGUUAUGGGGAUGUCCUGGUCUUUUAUUCUUCUCAGAUUGUUUCAUAACAUUCAAUUUAAAUAGAGAUUUAUGUGGAAGGAUUUUAAGACAGAAAACAUUAAACAUCAGGAUCAGAAAUGUAAAAGUCUGGUUCAUCCUUGGAUUCACUUUUCAGAUGACUAAACAAAGUAGAGCCAGAUCUUUAAUGCAUUCAUUUCUAUUAAUUAAUUACUUAGAUUUUCAUGUUUUUAAAUUUUUUUUUUUUUACAUACAAAAGUCUCAGGCUGGAUUUUUUUGUUUAGUCGUUAGUUUGUAGUACGCCACUACUAGAAACUAGAAACUUCUAAAGUUUUAGGAAAAACAAACGCUAACAUUGAUAAAGCUCAUUAGCUUUCUGACAGAACAAAAUGAGAAAUGCACAAUUAUCUGUCUGUCACUAACAUGUGAUGGGUGUUUGGUUUGUUUAAUGUAGAAGAGUAAUGGACCAGGAAGUGACCCUGUGGAACCACAGAAAUACUUUUUCUUGAUGAAAACCAGCUGAGAACCAAAGACGGAGAACCCAAUGUCGUUAUCCACAGUGUGAAAGUCCCACUGAGUCCAACUGAACUCUGUUACUGUUGGACUUAUUAACCCAUUUUUACACAGCAACAGGCUCCAAACAUGAUGGAUAUGUUUGAUUUUUACAGAAAUGUAUUCAUCCAGUCGUGUGUGGAAAAGUAUUUUAUUUCGGAAUCAGAGUUCAGAUGAUAUUUUAUCCUUGUUUAACUGCAGAAAAUAAAUGGUUUAUAUAAUAAAAAGCA